AGAAGAAGGAAAUGGGCCCCUUCUCUCUUCCUCCAGAGUCACCAAGUGAUCCUGGGAUGAGGACCCCAAUGGAAGGCAUCUGAUAAGAUAAGUCUUAUAAAAUAUAUAGAUUUAUGAUAAUUAAGAGUGAGCUAACAGAUGAGAAUCCUAGUCAUUGGCCAAGCAGCAUUUGUACCUAAUAGAAGUCUCUGUAUAUUAUUUGGGACCCUAACUCGGUGGGCAGAACUCAGAUGGCUGGCAGAAAGCACCCACAUGGCAGUAGGGCUUGGGAGGCUUUUGCCAGAAAGAUUUAUUGUAACAUCUUUCUAUUCUUUUAUUCUCAACUUAUCCAGUGUAGACUUUUAACUUGAUGAACCUUUAUGCUGACUCGACCCUUGCACCACAUUCACUUUUUUUUCAGAUAGAGAUUUAAUCACAACCAGGAUCAGUAAAACUAAAAUAAGGUCAGAGUCCAUGCUUCUGGUGAGCAGUAGUAAUGGUAUCCCUUCACACAAAAAUGGUAGAAGAGGAGCCAGUCACUGCACUGAAUUCAGGAUCACAUGGAGGCUCUGUAGAGAAGAGAGCAAGAGGAAGCACCCUGCUUAUAUUCUGAGUCUGCCUGCUAUGUCACUUCCUGCCUGGAUCACAAGACUUCUUACUACAUUUCGAAGAAUUCUCCUCGACUCCUAGUCCCACCUAUCCUGCUUCCUCAUUGGCCGAACAGUGCUUUAUCCAACAGCCAAUAAGAUAAGCAUACACAGAAGGACACUCUCCAUCACUCAGCCAAUGAUGCUUGUUCACAGGUUGCAUGAAUGGAUUUCAAGUGUGAGAACUGACUCAGGCUCUGGGCUUUCAGCCCCUAGGACUAAACAGGAAGCCAUGGAAAUUGCUGUAGGCUUUUCAGAACAGUGUUUCCUCUGAUGGAAAUUAUUUUAAAUAUUAAGAAAUGUGCUUUCCAUAGGAAUGGGAGCCCAUCCCACAUGGAGGGAUACUCCCUGAGCCUAGACACAUGGGGAUGGGCCUAGGCCCUAUCCCAAAGGAUAUGACAGACUUUGAAGACCCAUAUGGAAG
This 1050-nucleotide long non-coding RNA is filed under the name Cricetulus griseus (Chinese hamster). Its description in RNAcentral is "lncRNA (ENSCGRG00015031182.1)". The record is from RNAcentral. Lineage: Eukaryota; Metazoa; Chordata; Mammalia; Rodentia; Cricetidae.